Brassica oleracea var. oleracea is the source of this 104-nucleotide small nuclear RNA. The record is from Rfam. Lineage: Eukaryota; Viridiplantae; Streptophyta; Magnoliopsida; Brassicales; Brassicaceae.
UUGUCCCUUCAGAGAAGUCCAAUAAAAUUGGAAUGAUAUGGAGAAUAUUAGCAUGGCCUUUGUGCAAGGAUAACCAUGCAAAUUGAAAAAUGUUCCAAUUUUGU